This is a small nuclear RNA of Callithrix jacchus (white-tufted-ear marmoset), 107 nucleotides long. The record is from Ensembl. NCBI's taxonomy places the organism in Eukaryota, Metazoa, Chordata, Mammalia, Primates, Cebidae.
GUGCUCGCUUCAGCAGUGCAUAUACUAAAACUGGAACAAUACAGAGAAGAUUAGCAUGGCCCCUGCACAAGGAUGACAUGCAAAUUCGUGAAGCAUUCCAUAUUAAA